This 481-nucleotide ribosomal RNA is filed under the name uncultured bacterium. RNAcentral describes it as "partial 16S ribosomal RNA". It matches the Rfam family "Bacterial small subunit ribosomal RNA", at positions 28 to 507 of the family's 1533-position model. The record is from RNAcentral.
GAUGAACGCUGGCGGCGUGCUUAACACAUGCAAGUCGAACGAAGCACUUUAUUUGAUUUCCUUCGGGACUGAUUAUUUUGUGACUGAGCGGCGGACGGGUGAGUAACGCGUGGGUAACCUGCCUUGUACAGGGGGAUAACAGUUGGAAACGGCUGCUAAUACCGCAUAAGCGCACAGCAUCGCAUGAUGCAGUGUGAAAAACUCCGGUGGUAUAAGAUGGACCCGCGUUGGAUUAGCUAGUUGGUGAGGUAACGGCCCACCAAGGCGACGAUCCAUAGCCGACCUGAGAGGGUGACCGGCCACAUUGGGACUGAGACACGGCCCAAACUCCUACGGGAGGCAGCAGUGGGGAAUAUUGCACAAUGGGCGAAAGCCUGAUGCAGCGACGCCGCGUGAGCGAAGAAGUAUUUCGGUAUGUAAAGCUCUAUCAGCAGGGAAGAUAAUGACGGUACCUGACUAAGAAGCACCGGCUAAAUACGUG